This 253-nucleotide ribosomal RNA is filed under the name uncultured bacterium. RNAcentral describes it as "partial 16S ribosomal RNA". It matches the Rfam family "Bacterial small subunit ribosomal RNA", at positions 524 to 776 of the family's 1533-position model. The record is from RNAcentral.
UACGAAGGGUGCAAGCGUUACUCGGAAUUACUGGGCGUAAAGCGUGCGUAGGUGGUUUGUUAAGUCUGAUGUGAAAGCCCUGGGCUCAACCUGGGAAUGGCAUUGGAAACUGGCUGACUAGAGUGCGGUAGAGGGUAGUGGAAUUCCCGGUGUAGCAGUGAAAUGCGUAGAUAUCGGGAGGAACAUCUGUGGCGAAGGCGACUACCUGGACCAGCACUGACACUGAGGCACGAAAGCGUGGGGAGCAAACAGG